UACGGGGGGCAAGCGUUGUUCGGAAUUACUGGGCGUAAAGGGCUCGUAGGCGGCCAACUAAGUCAUACGUGAAAUCCCCGGCUUAACCGGGGAACUGCGUCUGAUACUGGAUGGCUUGAGUUCGGGAGAGGGAUGCGGAAUUCCAGGUGUAGCGGUGAAAUGCGUAGAUAUCUGGAGGAACACCGGUGGCGAAGGCGGGUCUCUGGGCCGACUACUGACGCUGAGAAGCGAAAGCAUGGGGAGCGAAACAGG
This 252-nucleotide ribosomal RNA is filed under the name uncultured bacterium. RNAcentral's name for it is "partial 16S ribosomal RNA". It matches the Rfam family "Bacterial small subunit ribosomal RNA", at positions 526 to 776 of the family's 1533-position model. The record is from RNAcentral.